Selaginella moellendorffii is the source of this 1420-nucleotide long non-coding RNA. RefSeq lists it as uncharacterized. The transcript has 2 exons. Lineage: Eukaryota; Viridiplantae; Streptophyta; Lycopodiopsida; Selaginellales; Selaginellaceae. The record is from RefSeq and is a predicted model, not a curated record.
UACCCCAUUUUCAAGAAAAGAGGCAUUUGGCGCAUCACCUGGUCGCUUUUCUGCUACCGCCGGGAACGAGCUCAAGGUUGGGAGGAAGAGAGGAAAUUCUGCUUCGCAUGCAUCCAGGAUGUCCCUGGGGGGAGGGUGUGAUGUCCUGGACUGAGAAAACCCAAAACCAUGGCUGGGACAGCAGUUCUUGGGCAGAAUUUGAGAGCCUUGCAUGCGCACACAGUGGCUAUCAUCCUGUUUAAGUCUUUCUUUCUUGACUUCUCGACUCACUGACCAAACUUUUUGUGACGAGGUUUGAAGUUCUGGAGAGCAAGGACGAGCUUGAUCUCAUUGGACAACAACCACCAGAAUCGCUGCGGCAGUUUAACCAGCGCUUUCAGUCUUAUAUUCGUAAAUUCGUCUUGUGUGGCGACUUGAUACGGCUGUGCAUCACUUUGCCAAGUUCCAGCCUUCUUGGAUUGGUCCUUAUCAGGUACUUUCUCGUGCUGGCACUAAUUCGUAUUGGCUAGCAGAGUUGACGGGCAGGAAACCACCGAAGCCAAUCAAUGGAGUUGAUCUCAAACGGUAUUUCUUUUGACUGGUACAGUUCACGUUUCGUUUCUAUUCUUUUAAUGCUGUGAGUGUCUUUGCGAGAACUAUUUUGUUACUCACAGGCCCGAACCUGAUUCGGGAGCAGGACACUGUCUCCUGGGAUAAGUUCUGUCCCAUUCGCGAUGCGGAGACAGCUUGUUGAGGGGCACGAUCCUGUGGUACGUAAUGCCUCUCUCUCCCCUGUCUCUUGAGGUUUCCGAUCGUCACAGUUCUGAGGUGCAUUCUUUGUCUCAAAUCGCUGAGAAUGUUAAUCUGCAUUUCCUUGCUUUCUGUCAUAACUGUUACAUUUGAACUGCUUUCUAUGUUUUCUUGUUCCGUGGUCUCGUUCGUCUAGUUGUGGCCUGUCGUUAACAAUCUUUCACUGGGGAUGGCCAAAGCGCUUGGUCUCUCUGGCGUUGGAAAGUUUCAUGGCGGUUGGUUCUCGUCGACAGUUGGCCAAGUCGCUUGGUCCUUUCGGCUUGUCAAUCGACUGCCUAUGACGGGCUGCUUCAAGGAUGGAUGAGACACGAGAAAUUCAUGUGUGAUGCCUUUCUGUGCUUAUUGUCUUUCUUUCAUACCAUUGCCUCGAAGCUUGAACAUGGAUGCUACCUCAGAAUCUUUGACUUUGGACCUCCAAUCACUUGGGAUUGAGACUCAUUCGCCCCUUGAGAGUGCACUCCAUCAACACUGAAUCUCUUAGUAUCUGCGCACUUGGGACGUGCUUUCCCCAGUCAGUCGCCAAAUACGAAACGUACGGGAGAGUGUUAUAAGAGGGUAGACAUUCUUUGGAUGAUGUUAGUGCAUAGGUCAUGAAGGGAACCGCCAUGGAGAUGUGCUCCAGGUCGAGAUA